Molecule: long non-coding RNA, 653 nt
Filed under: Linum usitatissimum (flax)
Lineage: Eukaryota; Viridiplantae; Streptophyta; Magnoliopsida; Malpighiales; Linaceae
Description: long non-coding RNA (LUSI_LNC002659)
Source: RNAcentral
AGUCUCACAUGUUCGAUCUUCAAUACGGUUCAGACAGCUUUGUAGUUUACAGCAAGGAAUCAAAGUCCUCACACAGCUUGGUGUUUCAGUAGAGCAGUACGUACCCAUUUUAUUAGUGUUACUUAUGGAUAGAAAACCAGCAGAUUACAGACACAGAUUUAGGAAGCAAGAACACAGCUUUAGCCCACAUAAGUAUGUGUAGCUAGAAACAACAUUGAAACGCAGAAAAGACACCAAACAAAUAAGGUACUUAUUAGCAUCCUUCCAGAUGUUUCAUCAUUUCCUUCUAUAUAGCCUUGUAUGACCACUCAACAUUGUUCAUGCCACCGUUCAUGCCACCCCCGUUGUAUCCAGUGAAUCGGUUCUGCCUGAACGACAUUUCGUGUUCUUGCUGCAUCAUCAUGCCACUCUGUGCAGGAGGGCACUGCACCCUGUUGUAGCUAGCAGCCGAUCCGUACCUUUGGUGGCUUCCACCGUACCUUUGGUGACCCCCACCGUACAUCCCACCGGACUGAGAGGCAGAGGAGGACAUGAAGCUUCCGCCACUCGACAUUUGGUGAGCCCCACCAAAGGCACCCCCAGAACUCGAGUGGUGGUUCAUGCUGCUGUGAGCAGCAACAGCACCACCGCCCCAGCCGUUUUGGCUCGCGCUG